UACGUAGGGUGCGAGCGUUAAUCGGAGUUACUGGGCGUAAAGCGUGCGCAGGCGGUUUUGUAAGUCUGACGUGAAAUCCCCGGGCUUAACCUGGGAAUUGCGUUGGAGACUGCAAGGCUGGAGUCUGGCAGAGGGGGGUAGAAUUCCACGUGUAGCAGUGAAAUGCGUAGAGAUGUGGAGGAACACCGAUGGCGAAGGCAGCCCCCUGGGUCAAGACUGACGCUCAUGCACGAAAGCGUGGGGAGCAAACAGG
RNAcentral lists this ribosomal RNA (253 nucleotides) under uncultured bacterium. RNAcentral describes it as "partial 16S ribosomal RNA". It matches the Rfam family "Bacterial small subunit ribosomal RNA", at positions 524 to 776 of the family's 1533-position model. The record is from RNAcentral.